Molecule: ribosomal RNA, 254 nt
Filed under: uncultured bacterium
Lineage: Bacteria
Description: partial 16S ribosomal RNA
Rfam family: Bacterial small subunit ribosomal RNA
Source: RNAcentral
UACAGAGGGUGCGAGCGUUAAUCGGAAUUACUGGGCGUAAAGCGUGCGUAGACGGUUAUGUAAGUCGGGUGUGAAAGCCCCGGGCUCAACCUGGGAAUUGCAUUCGAGACUGCCCUGACUCGAGUCCGGUAGGGGAGCGUGGAAUUCCCGGUGUAGCGGUGAAAUGCGCAGAGAUCGGGAGGAACACCCGUAGCGAAGGCGGCGCUCUGGGCCGGUACUGACGCUGAGGAGCGAAAGCGUGGGGAGCAAACAGG